GCAGGCGCGAAAACUUUACAAUGCGGAAACCGUGAUAAGGGAACACCGAGUGCCAGCAUCAUAUGCUGGCUGUCCAGAUGUGUAAACUACAUCUGUUAGCAAGGGCCGGGCAAGACCGGUGCCAGCCGCCGCGGUAACACCGGCGGCCCGAGUGGUGACCGUUAUUAUUGGGUCUAAAGGGUCCGUAGCCGGUUUGGUCAGUCCUCCGGGAAAUCUGAUAGCUUAACUGUUAGGCUUUCGGGGGAUACUGCCAGGCUUGGAACCGGGAGAGGUAAGAGGUACUACAGGGGUAGGAGUGAAAUCUUGUAAUCCCUGUGAGACCACCUGUGGCGAAGGCGUCUUACCAGAACGGGUUCGACGGUGAGGGACGAAAGCUGGGGGCACGAACCGGAUUAGAUACCCGGGUAGUCCCAGCCGUAAACUAUGCUCGCUAGGUGUCAGGCAUGGCGCGACCGUGUCUGGUGCCGCAGGGAAGCCGUGAAGCGAGCCACCUGGGAAGUACGGCCGCAAGGCUGAAACUUAAAGGAAUUGGCGGGGGAGCACAACAACGGGUGGAGCCUGCGGUUUAAUUGGACUCAACGCCGGACAACUCACCGGGAACGAC
RNAcentral lists this ribosomal RNA (604 nucleotides) under uncultured archaeon. Its description in RNAcentral is "bacterial SSU rRNA". It matches the Rfam family "Archaeal small subunit ribosomal RNA", at positions 335 to 940 of the family's 1478-position model. The record is from RNAcentral.